CCGUUCCGACGAGCGGGACCCACCCACCCAUCCCCGCCGCCGUCCCCACCCACCGCCGCCGUCGAUGGAGGGUUCCCCGGAGGCGGCGGAUCGGCUGGAUCCGGGCGCCGUUUCGGGCUCGAUCCGGCCGGUGACGAGCUUGCCGAGGAGGAUGAAGACGAGAGAUUAGGGGGAUCGAGAUGGAUGCCGAGAUCCGAUCUAGGCUGGCGCUGCGCCUGCGAGAUCUGAUCGCGAGCUAACCCUAUGGAAGCUUAAGAUGAAUUUGCAUACCUGGAUCAACUCCAUCGGUGUUGGGCGAGUCAUGUGGUGCGAUGAUCAUCAUGUUGGUUAUGACCACAUUGCUGGGUGUAGAAAAUGAAUUGGAUCAGUAUUUCAGCAUAAAUGGGCAUUUGAAACUGAACAUUCUCAAGAAUUUUGUAGCUGUGUCACAAGAUUUCUUAUUUCUGGAAGGAGAUGAACAUUUCAACUUUCAAGCGUGUGCUUACUCGCAAUAAACAGGAUGGAUGUUCCAGAAGGGUGAAUUCUUGAGAACAAUGUUGGAGAUGUGAAUGCCACUGGAAUGCAUGAAUUCCAGAAGGUUGGGCCUGGAACAGUCAGAGAAAAUUGCUACAGACGAAAUAAGAGCACAGUUAGUUCAGUUGCCUGGUGAGAGUAAGCCUGACUGCUUGUUGUCUGCUUGAGCAUAUAAUGCUGGCUUAAACCAGUCACCAACUUAAUAGUAGAAGUGAUGUAAACUGUACCAGAGUGGUACAGAAUCAAAUCAGUUCACUGUUCCAUUUCCUGUUCUUGGCAUGCAUGUACAUCCACUAGAUAUGGAACAGGAGCAAGAUUCAACUUUACCGACAACAGGUCGUCCACCGUGCUACCCACCAAGAAUUCUUUUUUGCAGGAUGUAUGCAUGUCUCUUUGAAUAUUCUCUGACCAGGAGACCAAAGUUAGUUGGUUGAGACUUAAGAAUUGACAAUCAAGACCAUCACAAGAACACAGUAUACCAAAACAACAGGGGAGAAAGUGAGCAGCAGAGAAGCUACCACCAUGCAACAACUAGAAAUACCGGAGCUGAGCUAAGCUGAGCUUCAAUUCUUCACCUGUAAUCACGAUGUCGCGGAGGCCGUCGCCGUGGAUGAAGCUGGUGUACCUCGCCCCCGGCAGCUCCCUCCCCCUUCCGUACGACGGCAGCGGCUCCGCCAGCGGCCAGCUCCUCGUCUCCUGCGUCGAUGUCAACGACACCACUCACCACCAAGAAGAAGAGAGGAAAAGAAAAACAUGGCCAUGGCGGUGGCGAGGUGAGAGUGAGACCUGUGUGGCCUUGAGGACGGCGCCCCUGGCGAGGAAGAGGGUCAUGUGGCUGGUGAGGUUGAAGCUGCCGGUGAGCCACGUUCCGGCCGGCACGAGCAGCGUGGUGCCGCCGCGGCGGCGCUGGUGCUGGAUGCGGUACACUGCCUUGUGGAACGCCCACGUGUUCACCGUCCGGCCGUCGCCCACGCCGCCGAACUCGGCGAUGGACACCGUCUCCGGCCGUGGCCUCGCCGGCACCGCACCGGCGCACGUCGUCGCCUCCGCCGCGUCACAUUGCACCAACAACACCACCAGUAGCACGGUGACCGCGAAGCCAUGCCCAUGCAACGCGGCCAUCAAAGAAAAAAUGAGAGGAAAUUGUUUGCGGCUAAACUAAAGAGAGAGAGGCCAAGCAGAGAGCUCCAAGAAGAGCUUUUUUCUACCGGUGUUUGUGUGAUCCCUAUAGGAGAAAGGUGGCCAAAUCCUGAGCUUAACAAUGCUGAGAGUGAGGGUUGAAGAGAGGAAGGCAAAGCAAAGCUAUAGCUUGCUCCCAAGUGCAAGAAUCCAAGGGUGGUGUGAGGAGAGCCAAGCAGAUGAGUCCAGAGGAUGGGAUGGGGUGGCUCAGCUUUGGAGCAAACCUGUGACUCGCUAGCUCACUUACUCUCUUGUGAGUGUGAGUGUGAGUGAAGAGAAGAAAGAAAAUGGAGAAUGUCUUGUGAAAGAGAGCCAGUUUUGGUCUCCAGUGAAAGCAGUGAAGCUUUUAUUCAGAUCUUGCAUGCUCAUAUAUAAUGGCUGCUCCAUUUCGCAAUUUUCAACUCAGGUGUGUCAGAAUGGUAAAAAUAAAAAUCAAAAUUUCUCCCAUGCUGUUAGUAAGGUAAUCUCCUUCCUUUUAUUUGAAAGCUAGGCAGGUGUUCUACCGAGAUGAAAUGCAAAGGGAAUUUCUUGCUUAAUUAACAUGACAGUCAUGCGGUUGAUCUACCACCAGAUUUGGCGUAGAGGCAGGGGCCCUUCAUUUGCUGCUUUUUUAUCAUCUUCUUUUUUCUUGCGUUUCAUUGCAUCUAAUGCUUUCUCAUCGUGGUACAUAAUUAAAGCCAUUGGGAUCGUGAGCAAAGGUAGAAGAAACAUGCUUUAUCAGCAUGGCAUGGACCAAAUUAAAAGAUCUCUACAUGCACUCCAGCUGGUAUUAUGUUUUGAACGUAUAUACAUGGGCAAAAUAUGGACUUCUGCCAUGUAGAUUGUAGAAUUUAAAUUCAGUCAGGUGUAAGAUGACUGAGUUGUUAUACAUUGUACAUACGUACUAAUACUCCCUCCGUUUUUUAAUAGAUGACGCCGUUGAUUUUUUCUCA
Long non-coding RNA from Oryza sativa Japonica Group (Japanese rice), 2624 nucleotides. RefSeq lists it as uncharacterized. The record is from RefSeq and is a predicted model, not a curated record. Lineage: Eukaryota; Viridiplantae; Streptophyta; Magnoliopsida; Poales; Poaceae.